AGAGUUUGAUUCUGGCUCAGGACGAACGCUGGCGGCGUGCCUAACACAUGCAAGUCGAGCGAAUGAAUUUCCUUCGGGAACGGAUUUAGCGGCGGACGGGUGAGUAACACGUGGGCAACCUGCCUCAUAGAGGGGAAUAGCCUUCCGAAAGGGAGAUUAAUACCGCAUAAGAUUGUAGUACCGCAUGGUACAGCAAUUAAAGGAGCAAUCCGCUAUGAGAUGGGCCCGCGGCGCAUUAGCUAGUUGGUGAGGUAACGGCUCACCAAGGCGACGAUGCGUAGCCGACCUGAGAGGAUGAACGGCCACAUUGGGACUGAGACACGGCCCACACUCCUACGGGAGGCAGCAGUAGGGAAUUUUCGGCAAUGAGGGGAACCUUGACCGAGCAACGCCGCGCGAACGAGGAAGGUCUUUGGAUCGCAGAGUUCUGUUGUAAGGGAAGAACACUAUAGAUAGGGAAUGAUCUAUAGCUGACGGUACCUUGCCAGAAAGCCACGGCUAACUACGUGCCAGCAGCCGCGGUAAUACGUAGGUGGCGAGCGUUAUCCGGAAUCAUUGGGCGUAAAGGGUGCGUAGGCGGCAGAUUAAGUUUGUGGUGAAAGAGCAAGGCUCAACCUUGUUAAGCCACAAAAACUGGUCGGCUAGAGUGCAGUAGAGGCAAGUGGAAUUCCAUGUGUAGCGGUAAAAUGUGUAGAUAUAUGGAGGAACACCGGUGGCGAAGGCGGCUUGCUGGGCUGUAACUGACGCUGAGGCACGAAAGCGUGGGGAGCAAAUAGGAUUAGAUACCCUAGUAGUCCACGCUGUAAACAAUGAAUACUAAGUGUUGGAGAGAUCCAGUGCUGCAGCUAACGCAAUAAGUAUUCCGCCUGGGGAGUAUGCACGCAAGUGUGAAACUCAAAGGAAUUGACGGGGACCCGCACAAGCGGUGGAUUAUGUGGUUUAAUUCGACGCAACGCGAAGAACCUUACCAAGCCUCGACAUCCCGAGCGAAGCUAUAGAGAUAUAGUGGAGGCUACCUCGGAGACAGGUGGUGCAUGGUUGUCGUCAGCUCGUGUCGUGAGAUGUUGGGUUAAGUCCCGCAACGAGCGCAACCCUCGUUUUCAGUUACCAGCAUUAAGUUGGGGACUCUGGAGAGACUGCCGGCGACAAACCGGAGGAAGGUGGGGAGGACGUCAAAUCAGCAUGCCCCCUAUGGCUUGGGCUACACACGUAAUACAAUGGCGUAUACAAAGGGAAGCGAACCCGCGAGGGGAAGCAAAUCUCAUAAAGUACGUCUCAGUUCGGAUUAGAGUCUGCAACUCGACUCUAUGAAGUUGGAAUCGCUAGUAAUCGUAGAUCAGCACGCUACGGCGAAAAAAAUCUCGGGUCUU
Molecule: ribosomal RNA, 1370 nt
Filed under: uncultured bacterium
Lineage: Bacteria
Description: bacterial SSU rRNA
Rfam family: Bacterial small subunit ribosomal RNA
Source: RNAcentral